UGCCAGCCGCCGCGGUAAUACGGAGAGUGCAAGCGUUGUUCGGAAUCAUUGGGCGUAAAGGGCGUCUAGGUGGCCUGGCAAGUCAGAUGUGAAAUCCCUCGGCUUAACCGAGGACGUGCAUUUGAAACUGCUAGGCUUGAGUGUCGGAGGGGGUAGCGGAAUUCCCGGUGUAGAGGUGAAAUUCGUAGAUAUCGGGAGGAACACCAGUGGCGAAGGCGGCUUCCUGGACCAACACUGACGCUGAGGUGCGAAAGCGUGGGUAGCAAACAGGAUUAGAUA
Molecule: ribosomal RNA, 279 nt
Filed under: uncultured bacterium
Lineage: Bacteria
Description: partial 16S ribosomal RNA
Rfam family: Bacterial small subunit ribosomal RNA
Source: RNAcentral